RNAcentral lists this ribosomal RNA (506 nucleotides) under uncultured Armatimonadota bacterium. Its description in RNAcentral is "bacterial SSU rRNA". It matches the Rfam family "Bacterial small subunit ribosomal RNA", at positions 1 to 535 of the family's 1533-position model. The record is from RNAcentral. Lineage: Bacteria; Bacillati; Armatimonadota.
UGACGAGUUUGAUCCUGGCUCAGGACGAACGCUUGCGGCGUGCCUAAGAAAUGCAAGUCGAACGGACAGUGGCUUCGGUUACUGUUAGUGGCGAACGGUCGCGUAACACGUAAGAAACCUGCCUUGAAGCGGGGGACAACAGUCCGAAAGGACUGCUAAUACCGCAUGUGGUCAACGAGAGGCAUCUCUCGUUGUCUAAAGAUUUAUCACUUCAAGAUGGUCUUGCGGCCUAUCAGCUAGUUGGUGGGGUAACGGCCUACCAAGGCGACGACGGGUAGCUGGUCUGAGAGGACGAUCAGCCGGAUUGGGACUGAGAUACGGCCCAGACUCCUACGGGGGCAGCAAUUAGGAAUCUUGCACAAUGGGGGAAACCCUGAUGCAGCGACGCCCGCGUGAAGGAUGAAGGUUCUCGGAUCGUAAACUUCUUUAAGUGGUAAGAAUUUGACGGUACACUUGAAUACGCCCGGCUAACUACGUGCCAGCAGCCGCGGUAAUCUGAUGGCGCG